Molecule: ribosomal RNA, 161 nt
Filed under: Ixodes pacificus (western blacklegged tick)
Lineage: Eukaryota; Metazoa; Arthropoda; Arachnida; Ixodida; Ixodidae
Description: partial 16S ribosomal RNA
Source: RNAcentral
CCCUGAUGCACAAGGUACCUUAAAUUGUACUUUUUCAAUUUUAAAAUUUUAAAAUUUUCAUUUUUCCUUUUCAGUUUAAAAAAAAUAAUUUUUCUUUAUAUAAUACAAAAACUUUAUAUAUAAUUUUAUAUCCUCACCUUAAAUUAUUUUAUUUUUAAAAA